GCUCAUGUAGCCUAUAGUUGGUUAGGACUUCCGCCUGGGAUGCGGGUGAUCGCGGGAUCAAACCCGACCGAGUG
Molecule: non-coding RNA, 74 nt
Organism: Potamilus streckersoni
Lineage: Eukaryota; Metazoa; Mollusca; Bivalvia; Unionida; Unionidae
Source: the annotation of a GenBank genome assembly